UACGUAGGGGGCGAGCGUUGUCCGGAUUUAUUGGGCGUAAAGAGCUCGUAGGCGGUUCGAUAAGUCGGACGUGAAAUCUCCACGCUCAACGUGGAGGGGCCGUUCGAUACUGUCGUGACUCGAGUCCGGUAGGGGAGUGUGGAAUUCCCGGUGUAGCGGUGAAAUGCGCAGAUAUCAGGAAGAACACCCGUGGCUAAGGCGGCUCUCUAGUACGGUACUGACGCUGAGACGCGAAAGCGUGGGGAGCGAACAGG
RNAcentral lists this ribosomal RNA (254 nucleotides) under uncultured bacterium. Its description in RNAcentral is "partial 16S ribosomal RNA". It matches the Rfam family "Bacterial small subunit ribosomal RNA", at positions 524 to 776 of the family's 1533-position model. The record is from RNAcentral.